GAAGUGAGCUGGACGGUCGCUGCUAUGGAGGUCUUCGUGACUGAAGUAGGGGAGGAAAGUCCGGGCUUUAAAGGGCAAGGUGCCAGGUAAUGCCUGGGCGGCGUGAGCCGACGGAAAGUGCAGCAGAGAGUAGACCGCCAUUUUUUAAAUGGUAAGGGUGAAAGGGUGUGGUAAGAGCACACCGCGUGUCUGGUAACAGUACAUGGCAUGGUAAACCCCACCUGAAGCAAGACCAAAUAGGAAUCCGCAUAGGUAUGGCCCAUACUGGAUUCGGGUAGGUCGCUUGAGCAUAUAAGUGAUUAUAUGCCUAGAGGAAUGAUCGUUCUUGACAGAACCCGGCUUAUAGGCUCACUUCUUUU
Molecule: RNase P RNA, 359 nt
Filed under: Acinetobacter apis
Lineage: Bacteria; Pseudomonadati; Pseudomonadota; Gammaproteobacteria; Moraxellales; Moraxellaceae
Description: Bacterial RNase P class A
Rfam family: Bacterial RNase P class A
About the family: Ribonuclease P (RNase P) is a ubiquitous endoribonuclease, found in archaea, bacteria and eukarya as well as chloroplasts and mitochondria. Its best characterised activity is the generation of mature 5'-ends of tRNAs by cleaving the 5'-leader elements of precursor-tRNAs.
Source: RNAcentral